UACGUAGGGUGCGAGCGUUAAUCGGAAUUACUGGGCGUAAAGCGUGCGCAGGCGGAUGCUUAAGUCAGAUGUGAAAUCCCCGGGCUUAACCUGGGAAUUGCAUUUGAAACUGGGUGUCUGGAGUGCGGCAGAGGGGGGUGGAAUUCCACGUGUAGCAGUGAAAUGCGUAGAGAUGUGGAGGAACACCGAUGGCGAAGGCAGCCCCCUGGGCCUGCACUGACGCUCAUGCACGAAAGCGUGGGGAGCAAACAGG
This 253-nucleotide ribosomal RNA is filed under the name uncultured bacterium. Its description in RNAcentral is "partial 16S ribosomal RNA". It matches the Rfam family "Bacterial small subunit ribosomal RNA", at positions 524 to 776 of the family's 1533-position model. The record is from RNAcentral.